RNAcentral lists this ribosomal RNA (2266 nucleotides) under Staphylococcus aureus. RNAcentral describes it as "partial 23S ribosomal RNA". It matches the Rfam family "Bacterial large subunit ribosomal RNA", at positions 635 to 2904 of the family's 2925-position model. Lineage: Bacteria; Bacillati; Bacillota; Bacilli; Caryophanales; Staphylococcaceae. The record is from RNAcentral.
UUGAUGCAAGGUUAAGCAGUAAAUGUGGAGCCGUAGCGAAAGCGAGUCUGAAUAGGGCGUUUAGUAUUUGGUCGUAGACCCGAAACCAGGUGAUCUACCCUUGGUCAGGUUGAAGUUCAGGUAACACUGAAUGGAGGACCGAACCGACUUACGUUGAAAAGUGAGCGGAUGAACUGAGGGUAGCGGAGAAAUUCCAAUCGAACCUGGAGAUAGCUGGUUCUCUCCGAAAUAGCUUUAGGGCUAGCCUCAAGUGAUGAUUAUUGGAGGUAGAGCACUGUUUGGACGAGGGGCCCCUCUCGGGUUACCGAAUUCAGACAAACUCCGAAUGCCAAUUAAUUUAACUUGGGAGUCAGAACAUGGGUGAUAAGGUCCGUGUUCGAAAGGGAAACAGCCCAGACCACCAGCUAAGGUCCCAAAAUAUAUGUUAAGUGGAAAAGGAUGUGGCGUUGCCCAGACAACUAGGAUGUUGGCUUAGAAGCAGCCAUCAUUUAAAGAGUGCGUAAUAGCUCACUAGUCGAGUGACACUGCGCCGAAAAUGUACCGGGGCUAAACAUAUUACCGAAGCUGUGGAUUGUCCUUUGGACAAUGGUAGGAGAGCGUUCUAAGGGCGUUGAAGCAUGAUCGUAAGGACAUGUGGAGCGCUUAGAAGUGAGAAUGCCGGUGUGAGUAGCGAAAGACGGGUGAGAAUCCCGUCCACCGAUUGACUAAGGUUUCCAGAGGAAGGCUCGUCCGCUCUGGGUUAGUCGGGUCCUAAGCUGAGGCCGACAGGCGUAGGCGAUGGAUAACAGGUUGAUAUUCCUGUACCACCUAUAAUCGUUUUAAUCGAUGGGGGGACGCAGUAGGAUAGGCGAAGCGUGCGAUUGGAUUGCACGUCUAAGCAGUAAGGCUGAGUAUUAGGCAAAUCCGGUACUCAUUAAGGCUGAGCUGUGAUGGGGAGAAGACAUUGUGUCUUCGAGUCGUUGAUUUCACACUGCCGAGAAAAGCCUCUAGAUAGAAAAUAGGUGCCCGUACCGCAAACCGACACAGGUAGUCAAGAUGAGAAUUCUAAGGUGAGCGAGCGAACUCUCGUUAAGGAACUCGGCAAAAUGACCCCGUAACUUCGGGAGAAGGGGUGCUCUUUAGGGUUAACGCCCAGAAGAGCCGCAGUGAAUAGGCCCAAGCGACUGUUUAUCAAAAACACAGGUCUCUGCUAAACCGUAAGGUGAUGUAUAGGGGCUGACGCCUGCCCGGUGCUGGAAGGUUAAGAGGAGUGGUUAGCUUCUGCGAAGCUACGAAUCGAAGCCCCAGUAAACGGCGGCCGUAACUAUAACGGUCCUAAGGUAGCGAAAUUCCUUGUCGGGUAAGUUCCGACCCGCACGAAAGGCGUAACGAUUUGGGCACUGUCUCAACGAGAGACUCGGUGAAAUCAUAGUACCUGUGAAGAUGCAGGUUACCCGCGACAGGACGGAAAGACCCCGUGGAGCUUUACUGUAGCCUGAUAUUGAAAUUCGGCACAGCUUGUACAGGAUAGGUAGGAGCCUUUGAAACGUGAGCGCUAGCUUACGUGGAGGCGCUGGUGGGAUACUACCCUAGCUGUGUUGGCUUUCUAACCCGCACCACUUAUCGUGGUGGGAGACAGUGUCAGGCGGGCAGUUUGACUGGGGCGGUCGCCUCCUAAAAGGUAACGGAGGCGCUCAAAGGUUCCCUCAGAAUGGUUGGAAAUCAUUCAUAGAGUGUAAAGGCAUAAGGGAGCUUGACUGCGAGACCUACAAGUCGAGCAGGGUCGAAAGACGGACUUAGUGAUCCGGUGGUUCCGCAUGGAAGGGCCAUCGCUCAACGGAUAAAAGCUACCCCGGGGAUAACAGGCUUAUCUCCCCCAAGAGUUCACAUCGACGGGGAGGUUUGGCACCUCGAUGUCGGCUCAUCGCAUCCUGGGGCUGUAGUCGGUCCCAAGGGUUGGGCUGUUCGCCCAUUAAAGCGGUACGCGAGCUGGGUUCAGAACGUCGUGAGACAGUUCGGUCCCUAUCCGUCGUGGGCGUAGGAAAUUUGAGAGGAGCUGUCCUUAGUACGAGAGGACCGGGAUGGACAUACCUCUGGUGUACCAGUUGUCGUGCCAACGGCAUAGCUGGGUAGCUAUGUGUGGACGGGAUAAGUGCUGAAAGCAUCUAAGCAUGAAGCCCCCCUCAAGAUGAGAUUUCCCAACUUCGGUUAUAAGAUCCCUCAAAGAUGAUGAGGUUAAUAGGUUCGAGGUGGAAGCAUGGUGACAUGUGGAGCUGACGAAUACUAA